CAGCCGCCGCGGGAAUACGUAGGUGGCAAGCGUUGUCCGGAAUUAUUGGGCGUAAAGCGUGCGCAGGCGGUCUGUUAAGACAGAUGUGAAAUCCCCGGGCUCAACCUGGGAACUGCAUUUGUGACUGGCAAGCUAGAGUCUGGCAGAGGGGGGCGGAAUUCCGCGUGUAGCAGUGAAAUGCGUAGAUAUGCGGAGGAACACCGAUGGCGAAGGCAGCCCCCUGGGCCAACACUGACGCUCAUGCACGAAAGCGUGGGGAGCAAACAGGAUUAGAUACCCGUGUAGUCCCUGUCUCUUAUAC
RNAcentral lists this ribosomal RNA (301 nucleotides) under uncultured bacterium. Its description in RNAcentral is "partial 16S ribosomal RNA". It matches the Rfam family "Bacterial small subunit ribosomal RNA", at positions 509 to 807 of the family's 1533-position model. The record is from RNAcentral.